UAGGAAAUGUUGGUGCUGAGCCUGC
This 25-nucleotide non-coding RNA is filed under the name Rattus norvegicus (Norway rat). Lineage: Eukaryota; Metazoa; Chordata; Mammalia; Rodentia; Muridae. The record is from RNAcentral.